GACGAACGCUGGCGGCGUGCCUAAUACAUGCAAGUAGAACGCUGAAGGAGGAUCUUGCUUCUCUGGAUGAGUUGCGAACGGGUGAGUAACGCGUAGGUAACCUGCCUGGUAGCGGGGGAUAACUAUAGGAAACGAUAGCUAAUACCGCAUAAGAGUAGAUGUUGCAUGACAUUUGCGUAAAUGGUGCAAUUGCAUCACUACCAGAGGGACCUGCGUUGUAUUAGCUAGUUGGUGGGGUAACGGCCGACCAAGGCGGCGGUACAUAGCCGACCUGAGAGGGGGAGCGGACAGACUGGGAGUGAGACAGGGACCAGACUGCUACGGGAGGCAGCAGGAGGGAAGCUUCGGUAAUGGACGGGAGUAUGACUGAGCAACGCCGGGUGAGUGAAGAAGGGUGUCGGAUCGUAAAGCUAUGUUGUAAGAGAAGAACGAGUGUGAGAGUGGAAAGUUCACACGGUGACGGUAUCUUACUAGAAAGGGACGGCUAACUACGUG
This 495-nucleotide ribosomal RNA is filed under the name uncultured bacterium. RNAcentral's name for it is "partial 16S ribosomal RNA". It matches the Rfam family "Bacterial small subunit ribosomal RNA", at positions 28 to 507 of the family's 1533-position model. The record is from RNAcentral.